UUUCUAGUUAUUGCUAGUUAUUCUAGGUAGCGGCACGGUAGCCCGAUUUCGCCAUCUUGUAACCAUAGACUCAUAGGGUUAAGAGAGUGGGGGAUUAGAGCGAUGCCAGGAUUGGCAGGUUGGCACCCACUGCUUUUAGCAUCAGGAAUGUAUCUAUUACGACCAUAAAACUGGUGCCCUUAGUCGUCCCAAUGAAAAAUAGGACAAUUGAAGUACACAAAAAUUGAGACCAUGCAUUGUGUCCUCAUGGACUGCAGCUGUUUGGUUGUGUUGUAGCUAUAAGGGAGCCAGCGGGUCCUAAAAAAUAUUUUAAUGUAAGACAGUUACAAUGUGCAUACAAAAGGCAUUAUGUACAAUGUACGGAAGGUGUUGUAGCCGCGUAGAUGACUCCUUAUCCUUAUAAAUAAAAGAAAGUAAAGUUAGAUACUUAUCUUUCAAAAAUAUCGGCGAUUCGACACACGUGUUCGUUCCAAGAUCGUCUCCCUGGGAAUUGCUUUGACACGCUACAUUUUCUGUUGCAAAAGUUAACAUCUCGCAACUACUGGUGGAAUUGUAAUACCUUUCCAUGUAUGUGUCUAUCGGAGCUUGAUUGAAUUUUUGUUGUGUGGGCGAAUUUUCCAUGAUUCUCAUCAAAUACGAGAAUACUGGCUUCACCGCUACUCCGGACAUAUGAGGAGUUGAAAGUGGAAUAACGUCAUAGUUACAACUCUGGAAACAAAAGAGAAUUAUAAAUUAAUCGCAAGUUGGAAGGCACGUAAUAAAAUAAAUAACCGAAUGUAGUUCGAGCGAGAUUUAAGGGGGGAGACACCGCAUUAGGGGGCCAAGUAUUUAACAGUAAAAACAAAGUUGCUUAUUAAAAACUCCAACCGUGACCACGUCCAGAAGAAUACUGUCACUGAUUCUC
Molecule: long non-coding RNA, 904 nt
Organism: Hylaeus volcanicus
Lineage: Eukaryota; Metazoa; Arthropoda; Insecta; Hymenoptera; Colletidae
Exons: 3
Source: RefSeq, a predicted model, not a curated record